GGAGAGAUGGCCGAGCGGCUGAAGGCGCACGCCUGGAAAGUGUGUAUACGGCAACGUAUCGAGGGUUCGAAUCCCUCUCUCUCCGCCA
RNAcentral lists this transfer RNA (88 nucleotides) under Legionella massiliensis. RNAcentral's name for it is "tRNA-Ser". It matches the Rfam family "tRNA". From Rfam's summary of the family: Transfer RNA (tRNA) molecules are approximately 80 nucleotides in length. Lineage: Bacteria; Pseudomonadati; Pseudomonadota; Gammaproteobacteria; Legionellales; Legionellaceae. The record is from RNAcentral. RNAcentral also lists the same sequence under 1 other name.